Molecule: ribosomal RNA, 139 nt
Filed under: uncultured bacterium
Lineage: Bacteria
Description: partial 16S ribosomal RNA
Rfam family: Bacterial small subunit ribosomal RNA
Source: RNAcentral
UGGGGAAUAUUGCACAAUGGGGGAAACCCGUGAUGUCAGCGACGCCGCGUGAAGGAAGAAGUAUCUCGGUAUGUAAACUUCUAUCAGCAGGGAAGAUAGUGACGGUACCUGACUAAGAAGCCCCGGCUAACUACGUGCC